CAGUAUAUACUUACGUAUAGAAUUGUGUUUCUUGGCUGUCUGGGGAGGAGGAAGGUGAACAUCAGUGAGAAGGAUGGGAGUGUCCUGGGAAGGGCAAACAGGUGGGCCAUGAUGGUUGACUCGGCUUGCCUUUCAAUGUUGGAAAGGAGAUUGACAAGGAACUCAUGCCGACCUUGAAUCCGUGACACUGGCCUAUGCUUAGAUCCUUCCUUUGUGGCUCAGCAUAAUUUCCUGAGCUUUUAAGGUAAAGACAACGAGGCACACAGAAACAGGUGAUCCACCCAUGGUCAUUUAACUAGUAGUCCGCAGCUUGGCCCCUGAGCUGAGGCUCUUAAACACGACCCUGUGCUGCCACCUGGUGGCUACACACGGGAAGUGCAACAACAGAGGUGUGUCCGGGCAAGUGCGGGGAGGUCAACAAAGGCUCCAGAAGGAUAUGAACUUGGAGCGGAAGCUAGGAAGACAUUUGAGACAGAAGGCUGGAGGACGCUGGAGACAUUUGAGACAGAGGGAGCAACACGUGCCAAGGCAGGAAGGCUACAGCUUUGGCGCCCUGCGCGGGGAGCAUGAUGAUCUUGGUGAACCAGGAGGAAAGUGGGACAUGUCAGGAGAUGCAGUAGAGAGGUCGUGGAGAGCAAGUUAUAGCGCACCUCCUAGGGACUGGGACUUUGAACUUGAGCUGAUGGGAAACCGAUGGAGAGCAAAGCAUGGGAGCAACAGGGCGAGAUUUCCAUUUGACACAAAUUGCCCUGUUGCUACAAGAAGCAAGAAAAUGGAUGUGAGAGCUGAGA
Long non-coding RNA from Ailuropoda melanoleuca (giant panda), 791 nucleotides. RefSeq lists it as uncharacterized. The transcript has 3 exons. NCBI's taxonomy places the organism in Eukaryota, Metazoa, Chordata, Mammalia, Carnivora, Ursidae. The record is from RefSeq and is a predicted model, not a curated record.